AUGUCAUGAUGUGGACAUUUCCUUAUCAAAUCAUUCAAUCGCUCACAUGCUUCAUGUAGGGGUUCUCCAUCCCCUUGAGAAAAUUUACGAAUGAUUGUGCGCAU
Molecule: small nucleolar RNA, 104 nt
Organism: Cornus florida
Lineage: Eukaryota; Viridiplantae; Streptophyta; Magnoliopsida; Cornales; Cornaceae
Source: RefSeq, a predicted model, not a curated record